RNAcentral lists this unclassified non-coding RNA (184 nucleotides) under Rhizophagus irregularis. RNAcentral describes it as "partial internal transcribed spacer region". The stretch from base 1 to 46 matches the Rfam family "Eukaryotic small subunit ribosomal RNA", at positions 1786 to 1831 of the family's 1831-position model. RNAcentral also lists the same sequence under 1 other name. Lineage: Eukaryota; Fungi; Glomeromycota; Glomeromycetes; Glomerales; Glomeraceae. The record is from RNAcentral.
AAGUCGUAACAAGGUUUCCGUAGGUGAACCUGCGGAAGGAUCAUUACCGAUUUUUAGCGGACCUGAUCUCUUUGAUCAUGGUCUCGCGAAAACUUGUAUUUAAAACCCCACUCUUAUAAAUUGAAUCAUUUUAUAUGUAUAUAAUAAAUAAAGAUCACUUUCAACAACGGAUCUCUUGGCUCUC